Molecule: ribosomal RNA, 398 nt
Filed under: uncultured Cytophagales bacterium
Lineage: Bacteria; Pseudomonadati; Bacteroidota; Sphingobacteriia; Sphingobacteriales
Description: bacterial SSU rRNA
Rfam family: Bacterial small subunit ribosomal RNA
Source: RNAcentral
AAAGACGGUCGCUCAACGAUUGCAGUGCCAUUGAUACUGGUAGACUUGAGAGAGAUUGAGGUAGCUGGAAUGGAUAGUGUAGCGGUGAAAUGCAUAGAUAUUAUCCAGAACACCAAUUGCGUAGGCAGUUACUAAGUCUCAACUGACGCUGAGGCACGAAAGGUUGGGUAUCAAACAGGAUUAGAUACCCUGGUAGUCCACACUGUAAACGAUGAUAACUAACUGUUGGCUUUCGGGUCAGUGGUACAGAGAAAUCGUUAAGUUAUCCACCUGGGGAGUACGCCGGCAACGUGAAACUCAAAGGAAUUGACGGGGGUNNNCACAAGCGGAGCAUGAGGUUUAAUUCGACGAUACGCGAGGAACCUUACCUAGGCUAGAAUGUGAGUGAAUGUAUCAGA